Non-coding RNA from Acanthosepion pharaonis, 114 nucleotides. NCBI's taxonomy places the organism in Eukaryota, Metazoa, Mollusca, Cephalopoda, Sepiida, Sepiidae. The record is from the annotation of a GenBank genome assembly.
UUACGGUAAUAUCACAGUGAAACACUGGUUCCUGUACGAACAUUGAAGUUAAGCAACAUCGAGCCAAGUCAGUACCUAGAUGGGUGACAGAUGGGGAAUACUAGCUACUGUAAG